Molecule: ribosomal RNA, 400 nt
Filed under: Burkholderia sp. TJI49
Lineage: Bacteria; Pseudomonadati; Pseudomonadota; Betaproteobacteria; Burkholderiales; Burkholderiaceae
Description: bacterial SSU rRNA
Rfam family: Bacterial small subunit ribosomal RNA
Source: RNAcentral
GCACUCUAAGGAGACUGCCGGUGACAAACCGGAGGAAGGUGGGGAUGACGUCAAGUCCUCAUGGCCCUUAUGGGUAGGGCUUCACACGUCAUACAAUGGUCGGAACAGAGGGUUGCCAACCCGCGAGGGGGAGCUAAUCCCAGAAAACCGAUCGUAGUCCGGAUUGCACUCUGCAACUCGAGUGCAUGAAGCUGGAAUCGCUAGUAAUCGCGGAUCAGCAUGCCGCGGUGAAUACGUUCCCGGGUCUUGUACACACCGCCCGUCACACCAUGGGAGUGGGUUUUACCAGAAGUGGCUAGUCUAACCGCAAGGAGGACGGUCACCACGGUAGGAUUCAUGACUGGGGUGAAGUCGUAACAAGGUAGCCGUAUCGGAAGGUGCGGCUGGAUCACCUCCUUUC